UGGUUAACCAAACACCUUUCCCAGUUUGCCAAAUUGCCAUAUCUCUCUCUUUCUCUCUGAAUCAAUAAAGCCAUGGCUUUACUUGCAGCAGAGCUUCUUCUUCUUCUUUCACCACUGGGUUCGAUACGGGUGAGACUCAUUGACUCACUGAGAAGCUGAAGAUGAUGAUGCGGAAUAUAGCUGCUUCUGCUUCUUUUUGUUGCAGCAGCAGGAGAUGGAGAGUGGCAGAAAUCUUGGCACUGCUAAUUUGGCCCCUGAAGCAAUCCACCAUUGAUUUUCUCAACGACCCAGAUGUUGGCAACUGGUGGCAAACCCACUGAACGAGUGAGUCCACAUCCCCAGCAAAAUCAAGCAUGUUCCCAAGCAGCAAUUCUGGAAACACAAUUUUCUUUGUGCUGGUCACCACAAUUGAUGCUUGCAGAACAUUUUAUAUGAAGUUUUACCGCUGGAGAAGAACGUGUUCCACAGCACAGAGCAAAUGUGGCAUUAGGAUCCAUGGACUCGAGACCAUAGAGUUGCCGAACA
Prunus avium (sweet cherry) is the source of this 525-nucleotide long non-coding RNA. RefSeq lists it as uncharacterized. NCBI's taxonomy places the organism in Eukaryota, Viridiplantae, Streptophyta, Magnoliopsida, Rosales, Rosaceae. The record is from RefSeq and is a predicted model, not a curated record.